UAUGCAGAAGUUCAACGAAGUUGCUGAAUCUGAAGUAGAGAAAGAAGAGAGCAAAGAUGCCUCUGACACCGCUGGUCUUCUCGAGAAGCUAACCGUCGAAGAGACAAAAACAGAGGAGAAACCUGUGGAGAAGGAGAAGACUGAAGUGGAAGCAGAUGAAAAGAAAAAAGACGAGCCAGAGAAAGCGGGUGAAGAAAAGAAAACCGAGGAGGCUAGUCCCUCAACUUAAGUUGCAUCAAAGUUUACGCUCCCCAGAUCUUGGCGAGACAUUAUAGCCUAUAAGUGUUAGAUGCAUCUCUCUCGAGUCUACCAUUGUCUGGGCACUAUCUAUCUACACAUGUUUUGUCCAGUCAUAUCGCUUGUGGUCGGGUUUUGCAGUGUCGUUUUUGGGUCUUUAGUUUUUGAGUCUGAAAGAGUCGGUCGAAUGAUAUGAGAGAUUCAGGGGAGAGGUUUACUUAUAUAAGUACAUUGGAUUUAAUUGUUUUAUGAUUUUUUUUUGCAUGGUCUUAUUAUAUGGGGGAUAGAGAUGAUAUUCGUUCACAAACCAAGUUUUCUAAUAUGUUUUUUUUCUGACAAGUAAAAUUCCAUUCAGAAAUCGAAUUAAAGCCACAUGCUUUAUUAUGCUCUAUACCCAAAAGGGUUACUCAAACUGUUCACACGGAAUCAACAAGACAACAAACCACCAUGUACUAAAUUGGGUUUGGUGAAUCAGCAUACAUUUUGGCUAUGAUACAAAAUACUAGGCGGGCAUAAUAUCCGUAACCUGAAAUCCGAACUGAACCCGAACCGAAAAACCUGAUCCGUAUCCAGUCCGAAAUGUAAAAAAUAUUCGAAUAAAUCUUGUAAGGUGGUACAAAACAUAUCCGAACCCGAAGUGUUAUUAACCGAACCCGAACGGGUAACCCGAAAAACCGAAAAAAUCAAAAAAUCCGAAAAGAUAUCCGAAGAAACCGAUCUGAAUGUCCAAAAUAAUAUACAAUAUAAUUAUAUAAAACAUGAAUAUAUACUUCAAAUAUUCAAUUUCAUAUUUAUUUUGAUAUGUUAUCUAACAAUAAUUAUUUAAAAAUUUAAAUAACUACCUUAAAUACUUAAUUAUAUAUUUCUUAUGUUUUAUUUUUAAAUUUUAGAUUUUAUUUCGGGUCUAUCCGAACCGAUCCGAUAUAACCCGAAUCCGAAUGAUAUAUGAUUACUUUAUGGGUUCUAUGAUGUGAUACAAAACCGAGUCGAACCCGAUGUGUUAUAUCCGAACCCGAUCCGUACUUGCAAAUUAACUAGAAUGAGACCUAAGAGGUGUUAUAAAAAAGAACCGAAAUCUGGAAAACCCGAUCCGAACGCCAACGGGUACCCGAACGCCAAAACGCCAACGGGUACCCGAACGCCCAGCCCUACAAAAUACCAAAAACUAAUUAGAUGGCUAAGAUAUGUCAACACUAGUUAAAGUGGUUAACACAUCAUCACUUGAAUUAUUUAUUUAUGGCGUUUAAUACUCAAGUAUAAAUAUCUAUUAGACUUUUCCAAGUCAAACAGUCAACCACUUGUGCCGCUUUUAAUCCUCAGACCGCUUUCAUAUUUGUUUUAUUUUUAAAUAAAGUUCUUAUAUAAUAAAUAAGGUCAGUUAUAAAUAUGGUGCGGAAUUAGUUAUAAAUAUGAUUAGGUACAAAUAUGGCAAGCGAAUUAAUUAAGGAUAAAAAAUAUUUUAAAAAUAAUAGGUUAUAAAUAUAGUAAGCGAAUUAAUUAAGAAAUUCAAGUUAGAUAAUGAAAUUCUAUUGUAAAUAAUUCUAAAAAUUAUAGGUAGAAUCACAGUAGAGAUUCUGUUUUAAUAGUUUAAAUAUUGAAUUUAUUUAUAUGCAUAACAAACGGGAAAAUAAUGUGAGUACUACACAUAAAACUAAACAAAAAACACGAUGAUGGGCUUGAGAAGAACACCGUUGGUUUUAUACAUUCUCUUCAUCUUUCAUCUUCAUCACGAUUUCACUUCCGUUAGCUCACGGUCUUACUCACUUGAUACGAACAAAGAGAGUCUUCAUGUAAAUGAGUCAAAACCAGUUGUUGAUGUGUUUGAAGGAAAGGCUCGAGAGUUAGCUUUCGUUAUCAAAAGAAGAGGCAUUGGAGGAGCUGGUGGAGGCGGCGGUAGCACCACGAGUGGAGGAGAUGGGGGCAGCAGUGGUAGCAGCACGAGUGGAGGAGGUGGUGGCGGCCAUAGCAGCGUGGAAGGAGGAGGUGUAAGCGGUCAAAGCUGGUCAAACGGCGGAGGACGUUUUGGUUCGAGUUAUGCUGGUCGUAACGGUACUCGUGGAUUGCAUCGUUCAAGCGGCAGACAGAAUAUUCGAGGGGCAGUAUGUGCGGCCGGUUGGUUGGGUUUAUCAAUUUUAGUCGGUUUAAUAUUGGCUUAGAAAGAUUUAUGUAUUGGUUCACCAUUUUAAUUUGGGGUGCAUAUGUGUUGAAGUCCGGUCUGGUUUGGUCUGAGAUUGAUUGGGGCUAAUGGUCAGUUGUUGUGUUUCGGUUGUUUACUAUGCUGUAUGCACGGUUUGUACAUUGUAAAUUAUAUUCAGUUAGUAUAUUUGUGAAAUUUCGUAAAGCUGAAAUUAAACAUUCUGAACACUAAGGCUUUGACUAUAUCAUAUGUCACAUUUAUAGUAAAUAAUCAAGGAGAAAAAUUACAUACACAAAUUUACUAUAUCUCAAACCAUAGUAAAUAUAAUUAUCCUCUCUCCCAUUUUUAUUUUCCUUUAGUUUGCGAUUAUAUAUUAAUUAAAAAUUCCACCAUACAUGUCACAUGUUUAUAGAUUUCCAAUGUAUUUGUAAAAAAUGUUUUUAAGAUAAGGAUCAUUUAAGUUUCUAUGUAAAGAGUAAAAAGAAAAAUAUAUUAAACAAAGGUAAGUGAUAUGGAGAGUGUUGUAAUGUGUGAUGUGUCCUAAUAUAUUUUGUCCUAAUAUAUAAUGUAAUUAAUCAAACUAUACACUAUGACAAUUUUUGUCCUAAUAUACUUCAAAAUAUAUAAACACUGUCGUGCCAAGGAGUCAAACUUUUCUCAUCUCAUUUUUCUUCUCUCCUAUCUAAAUUUUAUUUGCAGUCGACAGACAAAAUAUUACACCCACAAAUUUAACUUUUAUUUAAAAAAAAAAUAGCGUCACUUAUAAACUUUAUACUAUGGUUUAGGAGCAGGUUCUUAAUGAGACACUGAAACUACGACGAAACGGCAACCACUUCUCACGCGUCCUCCUUUUUUUUUUUUUGUAAUACUCCUAGUACAUAGAGUAAAGAAUGUAAGCCAAUUUAUAUAAAUAGAAAGCAAAAGGGAAAAUGCUAGAAGACACAGAAACCAAACAACACCAACAAAAAAUGGCUUUCAGAAGAACAUCUUUGGUUUUGUAUACUCUCUUCAUCUUUUAUCUUCAACACAAUUUGCUUUCCGUGAGCUCACGACCUCACUCAGCUGAUACGAACCACGAGACUCUUCCUUUUUAUCCCUCAGAGACGGAUGUUGUUGGGUUUGAAGGAAAGACUCGUGAGUUAGCUGUUGUUAUCAAAAAAUCAUUUGGUGGAGGACGUGGCGGCGGCAGUGGCAGCAGGGGAGGAGGAGUUGGAGGUCGAAGCCGAUCACGUGGCGGGGCAGGUGUGAUUUAUCCGGCCAGAUCGCAUUUUCAUCGUUCAAGCGGUAGCAUGAACCUUCGAGGGGCAGUGUGUGCGGUCGGCUGGUUGUGUUUAUCGGUGUUAGCCGGUUUAUUCUUGAUUUAGUCUGAACUUGAUAUAUGUACGUAGGUCUAGAUGGAACUAUGGCGUAUGUAAAGUGUCGAUCAUAUUCACUUAGAAGAAGUGUUUUCACCAGUUGCUCACCCCACAAGAACAAUACAUAUUUAUUUAAAUUUGUAAAGCAAACGUUCCUAUGAUAGCAUCGUCCACUAUUUUUUUUAUAUAUAAUACUACCAUUUAGUGGGAAUUUUUGUUUGUUUUAAUUCCGUUUGGUUAAUAAUUACUAAGAUAUAUAUACAAGCAUAAUCUCAUAAGCCAUUGCAAAAACAUUAUCGCUUAGCUCCUUGGAAUCUAUAUCAAAAUAUGAAAAGUCAUGGCCCAACUGGUGGAUUAACUUUAUCCGUGGACCAUGUGAUGAUGAGUGAUGCCAAGACUCGAGAUAAAGACAAGACUCAAUCUCCACCAAAAAACUGAUCAACUAUGGCCACUUGGAACUAUACUAAAUGAGACAUGCACCACACACAUUCGAGAAAUGACCAGUACCCACUUAUAACAUUUUAAGCAAAACAGACACCAUACUUUAAAGUUUAUUCAAGACAUGCCAGUGGCGCAUGCAGCGUUGAAAGAUAUGGGUCAGGGUCACAUGCUCCCAAUGUAUUUGUGAAAAUAUGGUUUAUGAUUCUGAUCAUUUUAAGUUUCUAUAUAAAGAAUAGAUAGGAAAAUAAGAGUAAUAGAUUUACAUAAGUAUUGAAUUGUGAGUUGAUUGCAUAUUUGAUGUAGGAUGUAAUUAACCUAUAUCAUGAUAGCUUCGUGCUAUUAGACUUCAAAGUUUAGGGACCAAACAAACUCAUCCUUUUUUCUAACUAAUAAAUAUAUGUUGAUUAUGCAAUCAUGUAUAGCAGUGUUAAUUAUUUCAACACCCGCCGUUGAUAAUACGCAGAUAAUAAGGCUACGAAAUGCUUAGGCAAGACUAGAGAGGUCACUAUCAGUUCGUAUACUAUAAAUAGGUAUACAGUUUUAAAAUUUGUUUGAACAAAGUUUCAUGCUAUCUCUCUGUUAUUUCUAGCUUUCGUUGCAAUUAACACAAAGCUUCAUGUUAUCUCUCUAUCCUUGCAGUUAUAACACUCCUAUAGUCCUGUGUACAUAUUUGAUUCAACCUUCAUUCGAUUUACAAUUCCACAAUAGUUAAGCAAAUUAAUCAAUCUAAGCUUCUUUUCAAUAACACUAAGUAAUUAAUAAGAUUUCAAUUUGUGGUAUGUUUUCGUAAGUUUUUGUUUUUUUUAUGUUUAGUAUAGACUAUAGAAAAUACUAAUGUUCAAAAGUUAGAACUUAAGGGGUUAUAAGUUCGAGUUUCAAUUUCAACACAGGCGAAGAAACUAGACAUCAGAGAUGAAUGAUAAGACUUAAACCACGAGUUACAGUUGAAAUCAUCUUCUCUUAAUUACAUAAUUAACUUUGAAUUCGAUAACAAUUUCGACUAAGCCUAACACACUCCAACCAGUGCAAGAUCUCAGCGUUCGGGUCUCUCUCGAUGACCACAUUAGUCGCCGUGAUCUGCAUAUCUCCUCUGUACAAGCCGACGCGGCCACGAACGCGAGCUACGGCUCCGAUUCUGAUGUCUCUUGCUUGUCUACGAGCGGUUCUUGAGUGCAGCAGAAUCGUCGAUGAGUCGAAGCGGCUGAAGUAAGGAGAGGUGAGUUGGUUGAGCCACAUGAUGCACGUGACGCAGCCAGUGCCAUCGUCAAUGCUGAACUUGAGGAACUUCUCGGCCAUGUCGCGAGAGACGAUCGUGCCCACUGUCUCUACGCGUGAGACCCAUGAGAUACAUCCCAGGGAGAAACAGUUGGCUUCUGUCGGUGAUGGUGUCAGGCGGUGGAUGUCACGUGUCACGAGUUUCGCGUGUGUGUUUUGUUGGGAUCGAUCCAUGGCUGGACACAGACCAUAACAAUGAAGAUUAGUGCGGGAAACCGUUAAAACGAUUUUCAAAAAAAAAUAUUUAAACUGAAAAUAAUUCUACAACAAUUAUGUGUAAAAAUAAAUAUAUGUUCUAGUUUUGACAAGUAGUUUAUUCGGAUGAGAUUACUAUUGUUAUUUUUAAUGUGAUUAAAGAACGUUUUUCUGUUACUUAAUUGUCCUGCAGUCUCAGAGAUCUGAAGUUCAGCAUAGUUGUUUGAAUGAAAUUAUUGUGUAAUUUACUCUUCCUUAUUGAGAAUUAAAAAGUAGUAUAGUGUUGAGAAGAAACUAUCCCAUGAAAGUUACGAUUUUCAAAUCUUACUACAUGAUGCAGACCGGCACCCAGUAAGAUUUUCAAAGAAUUAGACACGUUUACAAUUCUACAUUACAAAAGAUCUAAAAGUCUAUAAAGACUGCAUAACUCGUUUUUGAUAGACAAACUUCUAGAAUUUCAUGAAUUAUUAAAGCUAAAAAACUCCAUUAACUUUUUUCCAGAAAAACAAAUGAUCUUGACAGUCACCUACUUCAGCAACUAGUUCAUGUCUAAUAACUACUGUAUAUUUAGUCAUCAGACUCAUUACCAUGGGUAAGGUGUUCUCAUUUAAAUCUAAAUAAACUUUGUUAUUCCACCAUUUUUUAUGUUACUUAUAGAGAUCAUCAUAAACAAUAGUGUGUGGAGUCACUGAUCAAACAAAACUCCACUGACACUGUGUAUUUUUAGCUACCCCCUUCCAGGACAUACAUUUCUGUAGAUUUGAAUAAAGAAAGGGAAUAUACAUUUUAUUUGAUUCAAGUACUAUCUAUGAAUAGAGUGGAGAUGAAUAAAUGAUGAAAGCAAGAAAACAAAAGCAGUAGAAAACUACUAAAUGGUACCAUGUCAUUUUCAACUUUACCUUUGCUUCAGAGGCAGAGAAUCUCAAAAAUUCACAAAGCCACAAUAAAUGCCUUUAGAGGUGAUUCAUGUUUCCUUUGUGUGUGUGUGUGUGUUUAUUUUUCGUGAACUCAUGUUUAAUACUUCAGUACACCAUCUUGUGACUCCAAUUUCUAAUUUUGUUAUGAAAAUGUGAAAUAAAUAAACGAGUGAAAUCAGUUUAUAAAGUUAGAGGAUUUAGAGCGAAAACUAUUUUACAGAGAAAGGGAUUCCAGCCACACUCAUACGUGGACGUACGAGGUGGAUUUAGAGUGGGUGAGGGAUGACUAUUACUUGAGAGGCAAGCCAUUAUCGUACCUAAUGGUUCAAUCCUUACUAACUUAAAGUUAAUGAAGCUUCAGUAUAAUAAAUUAUCUUUACUUCUUAUGUGAUUAGGAAGGCUAAGUAAAGUAUUUGCUUACCUCUAACUUAUUUGCGGGCCAGAGGAUCUUUUAACUUAGUCUGCAAUUUAGAAAACGAGUAAAAUUAAUAUAAGAAAUUAGACAAAAUUAGUAUAAUAAAUUAGACAUCCGAUGCGCAUCAAAGCAUAGCUAUUCCUGAACAUAAUCAUUCAAGUGAUGACCUUAGUCACUAACUUAAUGGACAACUAAUGCAAAAGGAAAAGACAGUGUGUAUGUAGGUCCAAAUUUUAAUACGGCUCACUAGAAAAGAAAGGGUCACACAUGAGCAUACUCUUAUUCUGUGACUGUACUUGUAAUUUGCAAUUAACCACACGCAAAAGUGAACAUCAAAGGAUUAGGUGAAUAUAUAUAACUUCCUUGAGACGUAACAGAAAAGCAAGUGAUAUAAAGGAGAAAAAUUCCCCUAAAGAAAAACUAACCCAAUCCCACAUCUACUAGGGAAAACAGGGGUAGGUAGAUAUGUUACCAAAUGGGGAGGAUGAUUCGGAUCUUAUGCGUCUGGUGAAGGAGCUUCAAGCUUCUCUAAUGAAGAACGAUAAGCUGGAGAAAGAAAAUCACGAGCUGCGUCAAGAAGUGGCUCGCCUACGAGCACAAGUAAGCAAUCUUAAAGCACAUGACAAUGAGAGGAAAUCAAUGUUAUGGAAGAAGUUGCAGAGCUCAUAUGAUGGUGGCAACACAGACGCAUCUAAUCUGAAAGCGCCAGAGAGUGCCAAACCCAACAUAAAGGGACAUGAGGUAAAGAAUCCAAACCUGAAGCCAAUGGUCAAAGAACAAUCUACAGCAAUAAAGCCGCCUCCGCCUCCACCACUUCCAUCAAAAACAACACUUGGAAAAAGGUCCGUGCGUCGUGCUCCAGAAGUUGUAGAGUUGUAUCGUGCCCUCACGAAGAGAGAGUCUCAUAUGGGUAACAAGAUCAAUCAGAACGGAGUUUUGUCUCCUGCGUACAACGCAAACAUGAUUGGUGAGAUUGAGAACCGCUCCAAAUAUCUUUCAGAUGUAAGUACAAGACAAAACCACAUAUGUAUUUUAUUGUGCAUCAUUGUCUAGGAUUUAAUUCUUAUCUAAAUCAUUACAAACAAUGCACGCAAACGACGUCGUAUAUGCUCGUAUCGAUUCCUUUCAUAAGACGACAACCUGCCCAACCCGACCCUAGAACCAGCAAUCUCGGCUUCUCUCCUUCUUUUGUCGGAGCCAAACCUUCGUAACGAUGUUGUACGACCUCCGCUGCUUGAACAGUCUCGCUCUGUCGCUGCUGAUGUUGCAGAGCCGUGCAGAAACGAGACGAGAGAGUGCAGGAUUCGUGGUUUCUGAACAAGUUUCCGACAGAAGAAAUUGUCGGAGAGAUCUUUACGAGGUUCUUGAUCCAAGACAUGAUUCUUUUGGUUCUUGAAUUCCCGGAAAAUUCAAGAAUGAUACAAAAAGGUUACUUCUAAGCAAGCAAUAAACACAAUGUUAUGGACCUUAAGCUGUUGGAGAAACGAACACUCUUGUUCAACUAGCCGCCUUGGUACUGUAUCAUCACUUCUAUGCGUCUGACAAAAACCUACGUGCUAGAUUUGGAAAUGACAGGUCACACUGUCUUUCUUUCUCUCCAAAAUAAAUGGAAAAUAUUCGUAUUUGGUAAUAUAUGAUUGCUGCUACGAUAUGUAUAUAAACGAAAAUGUUACGACCGUACACGGUGCCAUGUUGCUGUAGAUAUAGAUGGAGUUUCAAAAGAACUGGGAAAGAUAAUUUAUAAAUAAGUGAUUGGUGUUGAAAAUUCUAUAUUAUAUAUAAAAAAAAAAUGUUAGUAACUCAACGGAAAUUGGAGCGAGGGAAAUGACGAUAACAAACAUGUGAUUCUCUAAGACUUGUGUGGGGCGCAAGAAAAGGACAUCAGAAUAAUCGUUCAUUGUGAUAGGCCGUAUCGUCAGAGGUGAAGGAUGUAGGGAGCAGCAGCCCAAACUUAUACUAGUUAAUAAUUGUGACCCAUUCGCCCAUUCAUAUAUAGAUGAUUUAAUAUUUUGGGUUUUAUGAAAGCAGGACUAUUGUUACAAAACAACACGUUAACACAUUAACACAAGGGGAGCUUUGCCAUUUGCCAAUCAACUUUAUAAAGAAAGACGCAAAGACCAAAAAGGUCAAAAGCUUAUAUGAGAUUUACCAUGCUACUCAGGGUACAUCAUAGAAUUUACAGUUGUAGAGACAUUUUUGUGAUUCUUUAGUGCUUGUAUUGACAAUUGAAGGCAUUUAUAUGAUUUUCUUGGAAAUAAUAUAUCAUAAUAAAUUAACGUAAAAAGUUCAGAAAAACUUAUCACGCAAAACGAAAAUAAUUAUAUUACCACUUACUGACAUUGAGAUCUUCCAAGAGAUACAAGUGUUCAUAUCUUCUUAUUAAUUUAUCAGUACAUAUUAUUUUCCGAGGGUUUUAUUUGUUCAAUAUAUAAAGAGAUGAACGUGAUGAUAUAAAUGAGUAAAAUUUAAAAAUACUCGUUAAUUAUUUUCUCUUUUGUUAACAAUAAGAAACAUUUUGUAUUCUUCACCCUCUCCGACCUCCACCAUGCCUCCCACCAGGUGGGUUGUGUCUGCCGUUGGCCGAUGGCUCGUCGUAGUCAUUGGUGCUCACCAUCAUCAAUGAUCUUCCUCUCAUCACCAACUUUUCAUUUCCUGUUAUGCAUGCGCAAAUAUAUAUUAAGAAGCUUUAAUUAACUUACAACCACAGAUGAUAUGAAUAAUAUAUUACGAAAGAGUCUAUCUAUUUCCUUCGACACGCAUGUAUCAAGAAUUAAUCAACUAAUCGAAUGUAUACGAGAUAGAACCCUUUUUAUUUAGAUUAUGAUAGAUCACUAUAAUCGAUCGAAGAGACCGAGCAAUCCAACGAAGUAUUGAGGAUAUGUAAACAACUCUAAAUUAUUCUCUUUAUUGUACAUAUGUGGAUGAGAUGAUGAGCUAAACUGUUUUAAUGCUCUUCUAAUUACCUGAAAAUGAAAUACCGAUUCGAGCCGUAGAGACGAUUGAAAGUGCAAAGAAGAUGCAUAAACACAGCUUAAUAGCAAAACAAUAACCCAUCGUCCCUUGUUUCUCCUUUUCCUCGUCUUUCUCUAUCUCUCUUCACUAUUCCCUUUUUUUUUUUACUUAUCUCGUUGAAGUGAUCAACUCGACAAAAUAGGCUGUAUUAUUAAUGAGUUAGUCUGGCUAUAAAAUGAAAGAUCGAAGCACAGAACAUGUUUCGGAUGUCCAAACAACAGCUGAUUUAUAUAACACAUGGCAUCGUCUUCAUUGGAUGUAUGAAAGAGUUGACUAUUUUGCAGACAAAUCGUGGGUUUCACACUGUUAAGUUAAACAGUUAACUCAGAAGCAAAGCGAACAUGUGUUUGCAUGGGGCGUUGACUUACUUGCACCGUCCGUUACAAAAAUGUCAACGUCAAAAGUUUUGGCCAAAAGAGGAUUUGGGGUUUGGUCACUUUAUAAAAAGAAGAUUUUCUGACGAUCAUGUGGGGUUCUUGCUGUAAUCACUGGUAUCCUUUAUUUUUUGAGACUCCUUUUUUUUUGUCGACGUCAGAGCCUCAGAGGUAUUGCGUAUUCUUUUAAGUUUAAAGUUGACAUUAACAGUUUCUCUAUAAAAAUAAUACUGUACAUGUGUAUCCUCUUCAAUUUUAACUAAAACUAAUAAUUUAGUGUGAAAUUUUUUUUAAAAAAUUUGAAUAUAUAAAUAGUUUAAGAUUAAGAUGAACAUGAUAAUCAUUUUAGGAGACUUAAAUAUAUCCUGCCAAAACUAAGAUUGUGUGCCUGAAGAGUUAGGUGGCUUAAUUUUUUGAUUCAACGAAGAUCACCCUCUCCUCCUUUCUUUGUUGGGACGCUGCGGUUCGGUUCAAUAGGGUUGGAUGGUUUACGGGCUUGCAUUAUUAUUGCCUCGACAUUCCAGUUGUGCUUCCAACUUUAGGUGGUUCUUGUGAAACUGCAGGAGACGCUAGCAUCUCGGUUUCGAGGUUUGGCUGGAUUAGUGGUAUCUCGUGGUAACAUUGACCUCACAUGUAACCGGGUUUACUUCUGAGACGUAAGCCGUUUCUCUUUCUUCAAGAUGUGUUUUGUCUCUUGGUUUCGUUAGUUUUUAAAGUUUAGUUUCCUCAUCCUUUGCUUUUUAUUUAGUUUUUGGUCUUUCUGCUAUUUUAGUUUUUUAUUGUACUUUUGGUACAAAUUUAACAUUCAGACCAAAAAAAAAACUAAGUUGAGUGUUUUUUGAACUUUUAUAUUUGAGAAAAAAGUAUAAUGAGGCCUUAUAUGGGCCAUAAGAGACCGGCCCACUGAGAGAUAGGCCCAUUCAAAGCUCAAUCCCCCCGUAUAACUCCGCUCAUAAAGUCUCCUUCCCAUUUUGUAAAACCUCCCAAAUUCUCUAUCGCUCUCACACGCCGCAACGCUAGCAAACCAAUCGAAUCCACGAAGAAAACUCGAUCCGUAGAUUACUAUGGCCACCAACGAACCCGAGCACGAGCCCAGAGACGUUGAAGAAGCUGUAGCUAACGAGGACGAGGACACCGGAGCUCAGGUCGCUCCGAUCGUUAGGCUUGAGGAGGUUGCCGUCACUACCGGCGAGGAAGACGAAGACGCCGUCCUCGAUCUGUAAGUCUUACGAGAUUUGUGAUCUAAUCGAGUUUCCUAGGGUUUUAGGGACUCUUGAGAUUUGUUGAUUGAAAUGUUUUGUUUGAGUGAAUCUAAGGAAAUCGAAGCUGUAUCGGUUCGAUAAGGAGGCGAAUCAGUGGAAGGAGAGAGGUGCUGGUACUGUGAAGCUCUUGAAGCAUAAGAGCACUGGGAAGAUUCGUCUCGUUAUGAGGCAAUCGAAAACUCUCAAGAUCUGUGCUAAUCACUUCGGUAAACCUCCGUUUAGGUUUACUUUAUGUGGUUUAAGUUUUAUCUGGAUCUGUAUUUAAGUUACUCUUGGAACUGUUGCAGUUACACAGGGCAUGAAUGUUCAAGAACACGUUGGAAAUGAAAAGUCUUGUGUAUGGCACGCACGUGACUUUGCUGAUGGUGAACUCAAGGAUGAGCUUUUCUGCAUCCGGUUUGCUUCCAUUGAGAGUGAGUAUCAAUUAUGAUAACAUUCCACUUAUUGUGUUGUUUCUUGUCAAUAUAGCUAUUGGCUGAUCUUGACUUUUUGAUUACCACUUGUUUCAUUAACCUUUAUGCAUGUUGCUUUCGCUUUGGCUUAUAUAUUCUCAGUAUAUAAUUGGUAGAACUUUGAAUUUAGCUUUGUGGCUGCAUGCUUUUGGAAGAUCCCAACUCAAAGUUUUCAUUAUAGGCUGGUUUAGAGCUCUAUUGCUUUGUUUUUUUUUCCUUUCCACAAAGUAUUACACUCUUCUCACUGUGUAUUUAACCUUGGUAGUUAAAGAGUUGUCUAUGGCUGCUAGAUUAUGCUUACGUUACAUUAGAAGAGUCAAAGAUCUUGAGGUAGUUAGGGGGUGUAUAUUUUCAAUUGAAAAGUUUAGUCGGUAGUCUACAUUUUUAUAUAUUGGGGGUGUAUAUUUUCAAUUGUUUAUGUGCUAAUAAUGCCAUGAACCGAGAAGUUUUUGUAAUAAAGUCGUGUUUUCCUUGUCAGACUGCAAAGCGUUUAUGCAGAAGUUCAACGAAGUUGCUGAAUCUGAAGUAGAGAAAGAAGAGAGCAAAGAUGCCUCUGACACCGCUGGUCUUCUCGAGAAGUUGACCGUUGAAGAGACUAAAACAGAGGAGAAACCUGUGGAGAAGGAGAAGACUGAAGUGGAAGCAGAGGAGAAGAAAAAAAGCGAGCCGGAGAAAGCUGACGAAGAGAAGAAAACCGAAGAGGCUGUUCCCUCAACUUAAGCUGCAUCAAAG
This 12804-nucleotide long non-coding RNA is filed under the name Brassica napus (rape). Its description in RNAcentral is "long non-coding RNA (BNAP_LNC007232)". The record is from RNAcentral. Lineage: Eukaryota; Viridiplantae; Streptophyta; Magnoliopsida; Brassicales; Brassicaceae.